AUGUUGUGAAUGCUUAUCUGUACCAUAGGAAUAAAUAGAUACCACUGUGUGGGGCAAGCAACUAGUAACUUGGUUAAUAAUCAUUUAACCUCAGCAUUCUCCCAGACCACAACCCCACCUCUUUGGGGGUGGUUGGGGCACUGAAAUCCCAAAGUAACCCAAAUGUGGUUGCCCAGUUUUAGGUUUCCUUUGCAGUAACUGCAGGACCACCAUCCAAAUGGAUGGUCCUGGGAUUAUCAAAUGCAUACUAAGGAAGUGAG
This 260-nucleotide long non-coding RNA is filed under the name Pelobates cultripes (western spadefoot toad). The record is from RNAcentral. Lineage: Eukaryota; Metazoa; Chordata; Amphibia; Anura; Pelobatidae.